AUGCAUCUCUAACAGACCUGGAGCAGCUAAUGCCUGCUACUAAGGCUUCCACCACAGAGGCUAGAGAAAAAGUUUCUCACACUUUCUAUUUGUCUGCUUGUGGCAGCCAAUACUGAAUGGAGAAUACAAGA
Molecule: small nucleolar RNA, 131 nt
Filed under: Dasypus novemcinctus (nine-banded armadillo)
Lineage: Eukaryota; Metazoa; Chordata; Mammalia; Cingulata; Dasypodidae
Description: Small nucleolar RNA SNORA31 (ENSDNOG00000044816.1)
Source: RNAcentral